AGUCGAGCGGACAGAUGGGAGCUUGCUCCCUGAUGUUAGCGGCGGACGGGUGAGUAACACGUGGGUAACCUGCCUGUAAGACUGGGAUAACUCCGGGAAACCGGGGCUAAUACCGGAUGGUUGUUUGAACCGCAUGGUUCAAACAUAAAAGGUGGCUUCGGCUACCACUUACAGAUGGACCCGCGGCGCAUUAGCUAGUUGGUGAGGUAAUGGCUCACCAAGGCAACGAUGCGUAGCCGACCUGAGAGGGUGAUCGGCCACACUGGGACUGAGACACGGCCCAGACUCCUACGGGAGGCAGCAGUAGGGAAUCUUCCGCAAUGGACGAAAGUCUGACGGAGCAACGCCGCGUGAGUGAUGAAGGUUUUCGGAUCGUAAAGCUCUGUUGUUAGGGAAGAACAAGUACCGUUCGAAUAGGGCGGUACCUUGACGGUACCUAACCAGAAAGCCACGGCUAACUACGUGCCAGCAGCCGCGGUAAUACGUAGGUGGCAAGCGUUGUCCGGAAUUAUUGGGCGUAAAGGGCUCGCAGGCGGUUUCUUAAGUCUGAUGUGAAAGCCCCCGGCUCAACCGGGGAGGGUCAUUGGAAACUGGGGAACUUGAGUGCAGAAGAGGAGAGUGGAAUUCCACGUGUAGCGGUGAAAUGCGUAGAGAUGUGGAGGAACACCAGUGGCGAAGGCGACUCUCUGGUCUGUAACUGACGCUGAGGAGCGAAAGCGUGGGGAGCGAACAGGAUUAGAUACCCUGGUAGUCCACGCCGUAAACGAUGAGUGCUAAGUGUUAGGGGGUUUCCGCCCCUUAGUGCUGCAGCUAACGCAUUAAGCACUCCGCCUGGGGAGUACGGUCGCAAGACUGAAACU
This 860-nucleotide ribosomal RNA is filed under the name Bacillus sp. BA-11. RNAcentral's name for it is "bacterial SSU rRNA". It matches the Rfam family "Bacterial small subunit ribosomal RNA", at positions 60 to 901 of the family's 1533-position model. Lineage: Bacteria; Bacillati; Bacillota; Bacilli; Caryophanales; Bacillaceae. The record is from RNAcentral.